This 436-nucleotide ribosomal RNA is filed under the name uncultured bacterium. RNAcentral describes it as "bacterial SSU rRNA". It matches the Rfam family "Bacterial small subunit ribosomal RNA", at positions 99 to 518 of the family's 1533-position model. The record is from RNAcentral.
CGGACGGGUGAGUAACACGUGGACAAUCUGCCCCCCGGCCCGGGAUAGCCCAGGGAAACCUGGAUUAAUACCGGAUGAGACGGGACCCGCGAUGGCGGGAUCCGGGAAAGGCGCUGCGGCGCCGCCGGGGGAUGAGUCUGCGUCCCAUUAGCUAGACGGCGGGGUAACGGCCCACCGUGGCGACGAUGGGUAGCCGGCCUGAGAGGGUGGACGGCCACAUUGGAACUGAGACACGGUCCAGACUCCUACGGGAGGCAGCAGCUAAGAAUCUUCCGCAAUGGGCGAAAGCCUGACGGAGCGACGCCGCCGUGAACGAAGAAGGCCGUGAGGUUGUAAAGUUCUUUUCGGGAGGGGGAACAACCGUGGCAGGGAAUGGCCGCGGGAUGAACGUGAAUCCCCGGAAUAAAGCCCCGGCUAACUACGUGCCAGCAGCAGC